CACCAAUUCACCACACACAAAGCUAUCCUCUUUCUCAUACAAUCUCAUAUACACAGUAAAAAUAAUCCUUUAUAUUACACACAAAAUAUACACAAGUACACUCCAUAAAAUUCCAUCUCAAGCUCGCUCUCUCUCUCUCUCUCUCUCUCCGACAUGCUUAUUUUCUAAAAUAAAAAAAUAUAAAAAGAAAAACAAAAGUAAAAAGAUAAACGAACAUCAUUAUGAAUAAAAAAUGAAAUCAUUUCCUUUGUCUCACAAUUACUCUAAAA
RNAcentral lists this long non-coding RNA (269 nucleotides) under Lathyrus oleraceus (garden pea). RNAcentral describes it as "Pisum sativum (pea) long non-coding RNA (PSAT_LNC030797)". Lineage: Eukaryota; Viridiplantae; Streptophyta; Magnoliopsida; Fabales; Fabaceae. The record is from RNAcentral.